GGCCUGCCCAAUGAAAGUUMAUGGCCGCGGUAUAUUGACCGUGCAAAGGUAGCAUAAUCAUUAGUUUUUUAAUUGAAAGCUGGAAUGAAGGGUCAGAUGAAAAGAUUUCUGUCUCUAGGGAAAUUUAUUAGAAUUUUAUUUUUAAGUGAAAAAGCUUAAGUUUAAGUAGAAGACGAGAAGACCCUAUAGAGUUUAAUAGUUAAUAAAUAAGUGGAUUUAGGAUUUGUAUAUUGUUUAUUUAAUAAAUUAUUUUGUUGGGGUGAUUGAAAAAUUUAAUAAACUUUUUUUAAAAAAUUACAUUGAUUUAUGGGUUUAUGAUCCUUUAGUAAAGAUUAAAAGAUUAAAUUACCUUAGGGAUAACAGCGUAAUUUUUUUUAGAGUUCUUAUCGAAAAAAGGGAUUGCGACCUCGAUGUUGGAUUAAAAUGAAUUUUUGGUGUAGAAGCUAGAAUAUUAGGUCUGUUCGACCUUUAAAAUUUUACAUGAUCUGAGUUUAAACCGGUGUGAGCCAGGUCGGU
Molecule: ribosomal RNA, 516 nt
Filed under: Trigonopterus costicollis
Lineage: Eukaryota; Metazoa; Arthropoda; Insecta; Coleoptera; Curculionidae
Description: partial large subunit ribosomal RNA
Source: RNAcentral